GACGAACCGUGCGAACGUUAUUCGGAAUCAUUGGGCUUAAAGGGCGCGUAGGCGGGCGACCGCGUCGAGUGCUGAAAGCCUCCGGCUCAACCGGGGAACGGGCCUCGAUACGGGUCGCCUCGAGGCGAGGAGGGGGACCUGGAACUUCCGGUGGAGCGGUGAAAUGCGUUGAGAUCGGAAGGAACGCCGACGGCGAAAGCAAGGUCCUGGACUCGUCCUGACGCUGAGGCGCGAAAGCCAGGGGAGCGAACGGG
RNAcentral lists this ribosomal RNA (254 nucleotides) under uncultured bacterium. RNAcentral's name for it is "partial 16S ribosomal RNA". It matches the Rfam family "Bacterial small subunit ribosomal RNA", at positions 524 to 776 of the family's 1533-position model. The record is from RNAcentral.